RNAcentral lists this long non-coding RNA (523 nucleotides) under Camelus dromedarius (Arabian camel). RNAcentral's name for it is "lncRNA (ENSCDRG00005001903.1)". Lineage: Eukaryota; Metazoa; Chordata; Mammalia; Artiodactyla; Camelidae. The record is from RNAcentral.
CCACCUCCUGGCUGCGCCCCAGCCCGGCCUCUCAGAAGCGGCCGCUUCCUCGUGGACGGUGGAGGCGGCGGCGAGCUAGAGCCCGCGUCCCAGCUCGCGGCCACAGAGAGGCCGGGCGAGCCCGAGCGCGCGGAGACCCAGCCCGGCUCGGCAGGCAGCUCUGCGCGCGGCUGGAGUCAUGGUAUACUGAAAAGGCACUCAAUCAAGAGAAAUCUAGAGGGAGCUGGAAACCAUCAAGUUUUUGAGGCCAUACAGGGGGCAGGAAAGAUAGAGGAAAAAAGGUUUAUCAGCAUUUCUUCCUGAACCUGCCUUAGAAAUAACAGCAUAUUUUAAUCAGAGAUUUGUAAGUAUCAUUUUCUUCUUUAUUUAGGAAAUUAGAUACUGAUUUUGUGGAAGAGAUUACUUCUUCAGUAAAACACUUGACAGGAUACAACUAUGCAAUCUGAGUUGGCGUGCAAAAUUUGAGUGAGAGUAAAACACACACAAAAAUCACCCUUCAGAAAACAAAGCAAAGAAACCAAAU